Long non-coding RNA from Jaculus jaculus (lesser Egyptian jerboa), 323 nucleotides. RefSeq lists it as uncharacterized. Lineage: Eukaryota; Metazoa; Chordata; Mammalia; Rodentia; Dipodidae. The transcript is spliced from 3 exons. The record is from RefSeq and is a predicted model, not a curated record.
GCUGUGAUGGCGAUGGGAAAUCGACUCCUGGAGUUCUCUGUUACAGUGCCUUUCCGUUCUCCUCUGGAAGCACACAUGGCUCGCACGUCUUUGAUCUCAAAUGCUCAGCUCCAACAAAUGAUGGUUCAGCAGGAGUUCACAGUGGAUAACAGUACCCUGUCUGCUAGGUUGACGUCUGAAGACCCUAAUCUCUUCCGAAUUUCCAUUAACAUCUUCCAUGACCAGUUUUUCCUGGUGUUGAGGAACAUUCAGAAUCAAGAGUUAGUGGCAGAUGUAAAAUGAGGACAAGGAAGGAGGCCUGAUGUCUUGUAUUUGGGUGCUUU